This 21-nucleotide microRNA is filed under the name Ornithorhynchus anatinus (platypus). Its description in RNAcentral is "Oan-Mir-9-P3-v2_5p (mature (guide))". The record is from RNAcentral. Lineage: Eukaryota; Metazoa; Chordata; Mammalia; Monotremata; Ornithorhynchidae.
UUUGGUUACCCAGCUGUAUGA